UACCAGCACCCCGAGUGGUCGGGACGAUUAUUGGGCCUAAAGCAUCCGUAGCCGGUUUUACAAGUCCUCCGUUAAAUCCAGCUGCUUAACAGAUGGGCUGCGGAGGAUACUACAAGGCUAGGAGGCGGAAGAGGCAAGCGGUACUCAGUGGGUAGGGGUAAAAUCCUCUGAUCCAUUGAAGACCACCAGUGGCGAAGGCGGCUUGCCAAUACGCGCUCGACGGUGAGGGAUGAAAGCUGGGGGAGCAAACCGG
Molecule: ribosomal RNA, 253 nt
Filed under: uncultured bacterium
Lineage: Bacteria
Description: partial 16S ribosomal RNA
Rfam family: Archaeal small subunit ribosomal RNA
Source: RNAcentral